UAAUAUUAUACAUUUAGGUAUGGCUAUAAGUGAUCAAAUUGAUUAAGCGUAUUGUAAAUACGUCGCCUGGCUGGGGUAAACCUUCUAAUUAUAGAAGGUUUACUUUUUUAUGU
Molecule: non-coding RNA, 113 nt
Filed under: unclassified sequences
Description: DUF3800-I RNA
Rfam family: DUF3800-I RNA
About the family: Actinobacteria, Firmicutes, Fusobacteria, Proteobacteria (1 example), Tenericutes (2 examples). Terminator (Clostridia)
Source: Rfam by way of RNAcentral